Molecule: ribosomal RNA, 449 nt
Filed under: uncultured eukaryote
Lineage: Eukaryota
Description: SSU rRNA
Rfam family: Eukaryotic small subunit ribosomal RNA
Source: RNAcentral
UUAAAAAGCUCGUAGUUGGAUUUCGGCGGGUAUGGUUGGUUUGAAUUGAUUCAACACUGACUUUUUUACCCGUGUGUUUUGCCAGAAUCUUACGGGUGAUCUUUACCGAUUGUCCGUUGGAACUGGCAGGUUUACUUUGAAAAAAUUAGAGUGCUCAAAGCAAGCUUACUGCUUGAAUGGUUGCGCAUGGAAUAAUAGAAUAGGAAGUCGUUUCUAUUUUGUUGGUUUUCGGAAAUCGACUUAAUGAUUAAUAGGGAUAGUCGGGGGCAUUCGUAUUCAAACGACAGAGGUGAAAUUCUUGGACCGUUUGAAGACGAACUAAGGCGAAAGCAUUUGCCAAGAAUGUUUUCAUUAAUCAAGAACGAAAGUUAGAGGUUCGAAGGCGGAUAUUAAGAUACCGCCCUAGUUCUAACCAUAAACGAUGCCAGCUAGCGAUCUGCCGGCGCUUA